UGGGGAAUAUUGCACAAUGGGGGAAACCCUGAUGCAGCGACGCCGCGUGAGCGAAGAAGGCUUUCGAGUCGUAAAGCUCUGUCCUAUGAGAAGAUAAUGACGGUAUCAUAGGAGGAAGCCCUGGCUAAAUACGUGCCAGCAGCCGCGGUAAUACGUAUGGGGCGAGCGUUGUCCGGAAUUAUUGGGCGUAAAGGGUACGUAGGUGGUCUUUCAAGUCGGUGGUUAAAGGCUACGGCUCAACCGUAGUUAGCCUCCGAAACUGGAAGACUUGAGUGCAGGAGAGGUAAGUGGAAUUUUUAGUGUAGCGGUGAAAUGCGUAGAUAUUAAAAAGAAUACCGGUGGCGAAGGCGACUUACUGGGCUCAUUCUGACGCUGAGGAACGAAAGCGUGGGUAGCAAACAGG
RNAcentral lists this ribosomal RNA (403 nucleotides) under Verrucomicrobiota bacterium. RNAcentral describes it as "Verrucomicrobia bacterium partial 16S ribosomal RNA". It matches the Rfam family "Bacterial small subunit ribosomal RNA", at positions 355 to 776 of the family's 1533-position model. Lineage: Bacteria; Pseudomonadati; Verrucomicrobiota. The record is from RNAcentral.